UACGGAGGGGGCUAGCGUUGUCCGGAAUUAUUGGGCGUAAAGAGCUUGUAGGCGGUUUGUCGCGUCUGCUGUGAAAUUUCGGGGCUCAACCCCGAACUUGCAGUGGGUACGGGCAGACUAGAGUGUGGUAGGGGAGACUGGAAUUCCUGGUGUAGCGGUGAAAUGCGCAGAUAUCAGGAGGAACACCGAUGGCGAAGGCAGGUCUCUGGGCCAUAACUGACGCUGAGAAGCGAAAGCAUGGGGAGCGAACAGG
RNAcentral lists this ribosomal RNA (253 nucleotides) under uncultured bacterium. RNAcentral describes it as "partial 16S ribosomal RNA". It matches the Rfam family "Bacterial small subunit ribosomal RNA", at positions 524 to 776 of the family's 1533-position model. The record is from RNAcentral.